Molecule: unclassified non-coding RNA, 264 nt
Filed under: fungal sp.
Lineage: Eukaryota; Fungi
Description: partial internal transcribed spacer region
Source: RNAcentral
AAGUCGUAACAAGGUUUCCGUAGGUGAACCUGGAAGGAUCAUUAACACGUAUCCAAACGUUAAAACCCCGCCCGUGAACCUUCAUCCUGCUCUUGUAACCCGCGUAGUUCGCAAUCUCUGAUAAAUCAUAGCCCGGAAAGACCGUACACUCGGGCAGGAGCUUUGCCAAAGCCCCCUAAUAACCCCACAGUUUAAUGUGAAGCUCAAUGUAAUACAUUGGGUAAAAAAACCGAACAACUGUUAACAAUGGAUAUCUUGGUUCUC